AUUUUUCAUUGGAUUAGAUAUAGCCUAUAACAAGUAAAGGAAGAAAACAGAAGUUAAGACGGAAGGUAUUAUAAUCACUAGAAGGAAAAUAUUUUUUAUAAAUCGCCAAAGAUAAGAUGGAUCCAUUAUUUCUGAUAAGUCUUGUCCUUAUUUCUUCAUUACAAGGUGAGUAUGUUGUAAUAAUAACGAAAUUUUCCGAUCUUUUACCCUUUUUUUAAGUUUUAGCAUGACGUUUCACAUUCAUAAAUAAACUCUUUGAGCUGCAGAAAUGUUUCAAUUACUACAAACUGUCCAGAUUCCAAUAUUCUGCAGGUUGUAUUUUUGUACUAUGGUUAGCAAUUACAGCCGAAAUCUUACUCGUCGAUUUUUUUUUUAAGGUGAACAUUGGUGAAGGAAGCAUAUGAAAUAUAAAAAAAGAAAAAGUAAAAUCACAAAAAUACAGAACUACGAGGAAAAUUCAAAACGGGAAAUCUCUAAUCAAAUUGCAAAAUCAAAAGCUCAAACUCAUCAGACGAAUAAAUAAUAACUGUCAUAUUCCUGACUUUACCAAUAAAUCAUCAAAUUUUCAAUGUAUACCAAACGAUUUUUACUUCUUCUGUUGAUGAUACAUAGAUUACCAUGUCAAGAAUGUAUUUUUCUAAAAACAGAUUUUAUGACUUAAGAAAUUCAGGAAAGUUAUAAAAUUCAUAGGUACUUGGAGACAGGACAAUUUUUAACCCUCCCCCUAUUCUGAAACCAUUAUUCUUUUUUCUUCUAUUAAUUGUAAUGAGUCUUCAAGUGAUAACGCGUCUUUCGGUAUACCUUAACCAACCGUAUACUCUUAUUUCUAUAUAAUAUGUAACUGAUGUUGAUAGUAAACUUAAAAUUGUUAGUAAUGACAAGUACACUUUAUGUAUAGAAUAGGUAUGUUCAAAGUUUAUACAGAGAAAGCAAAAAUAAUUGUCCUGUUCUCAAGAAACUUAAAGGAACUCUUGUUAUGACGUGAAAGUUAGUCCGAUGACGGAAACAAUAUCCGGACGCCUUUAAUAUCGUAUUUCUUCCAAAAAAAUCCAAAUGAAAUAAUUAUAAGCGAGGCAGACCAAUGCGACUAUACAUGGUACCUAUGACUUAAUGGUGAAUUACAGGAAUAUACCUGUUUGUGUUAACAUAUUUACUUGUGUGUGUUGACAUCAAUAUCAUAAUAAUUGAAAUAAAUUAACUGCUCACAUAACGUUAAAAUUUUUCAAAAACGAAGGAUAUUUUCACGUAGGAAUAUCAAACCACUUCAGCUGUAUACGGCAUUUUGAUGUUUUGGAAAGUUAAGUCAUAAAUAAUCUCUAACUUCGUAAUUAAUUUGGCCUUUUGGAUUUUCUUGAAAUCAAUGUCACUGAUGUCAAAUAUGUACCUAUCUGUAUAACAAUACAGAUAGAGCUGUUCGGACUACAUUAUUUUAAUAGCUAAGUGUCAUUUUAAUGUUGUAUUGCUAUAUUACUUUCCAUACAUAAAUAUGUGUAUCUUGUGUUGUAACUUUAAGCUAAUAAACCAUGUUUUAUUUAAAACAAAAAAUCAAAAUGUUAAGCAUUCUGAAUUUAAUCAAUCACAAAUCUAAUAAAUAAUUUGACUAAUUAAUUUUACAGGUGUCUAUGGAUCCUGUCCUGGGUGUGUGUCUAAAGGGUAAGUAUUAUAAAAAAAAGUAUUAAUAAAAAGUACCAGGAUUAUUAUAACUUUAUAUUGACAAAAUUGGGUGAAAACACAAUUAGACAUAAAAACAAAUUGUAUGAUCAAUUAUAAGAAAAUGAUUAUUAGUUUACAACUGUUAUUAUGUUGUACUGUUAAACCACUGUCCCAGGUAAGGGAGGGGUUUGGCGCCUAACAACAUGUUAAGUCCUCCACAUUCUAAAUGUCUAACAAAUGUAAGCUUUCAGAAAAGCUAUGGACUACUUCGUUUUAUCCAAAUUUCCACUAAUAUGUGUGCAUGUGGUUGUUGGGUUAGUAUUAGUCAUUGAAAUAUGGCAUUUUUAAAUAUAGAUGAUUGAUACAAAAUGAACGUUCUUUAAGAGUGUACGUUAUACACCCAUGCUUUUUUGCCUCUUGGGAGGUGUACCUAGAUUGUCAAAAGUUAUAAAAUACAGAUAAUGCAUGUUUGUAAACAUUAUAUAGUAACAUUGUUUAUAAAAGCAAAUCAUGCAAAUUGCAGAGUAACAAAGCAAAAAAACAAAAGUAUGAAUAAUUGAAUGUAUCUGUGAAAUAUAUAGCAUGAAUUAAUGACAGUUGAUCGGAACGGAAAAACACAUAAAAUUGAGAAUGGAAAUGGGGAAUGUGCCAAAGAGACAACAACCCGACCAUAGAAAAAACAACAGCAGAAGGUCACCAACAGGUCUUCAAUGUAGCUAGAAAUUCCCGCACCCGGAGGCGUCCUUCAGCUGGCCCCUAAACAAAUAUAUACUAGUCCAGUGAUAAUGAACGCCAUACUAAUUUCCAAAUUGUACACAAGAAACUAAAAUUAAAAUAAUACAAGACUAACAAAGGCCAGAGGCUCCUGACUUUGGACAGGCGCAAAAAUGCGGCGGGGUUAAACAUGUUUUGUGAGAUCUCAACCCUCCCCCUAUACCUCUUGCCAAUGUAGAAAAGUAAACGCAUAACAAUACGCCCAUUAAAAUUCAGUCCAAGAGAUGUCCGAGUCUGAUGUCAGAAGAUGUAACCAAAGAAAAUAAACAAAAUGACAAUAAUACAUAAAUAACAACAGACUACUAGCAGUUAACUGACAUGCCAGCUCCAGACUUCAAUUAAACUGACUGAAAGAUUAUGAUUUCAUCAUAUGAACAUCAGGCACAAUCUUUCCCGUUAGGGGUUUAGUAUCAUACCAUCAUAACAUACACGAGAAGAAAAUAACCCGUGUCAUACUUAAUUUUCCGGCAGUUGAUAUCUUAUCCUGGAUAAGAAAAGUCUGUCAUUUGUUAUCUCAUUUAAGUCAAUAGCUGUUACUGUGUCCCAGUCGCAUCAUAAUGCAACAAAUCAGAAUCUAUCAUGUAAUAAAAAAUUAAUUCAAGAUGGAGUGUAUUUCGACUGAAGCUAAUAUCUCCGCAUCGUGAUGCGUAACAAAAAAGAAGAUGUUGUAUGAUUGCCAAUAAGACAACUAUUCUUAACAGACAAAAUGACACCGAAAUUAAAAACUACUAUAGAUUACUGUAUGGCUUUCAACAAUGCAAAAAAGAGUAAACCGCAAAGUAAUCUAGAACAGGCCGCGAAAUAACAAAUGUAAAACUAUUCAAAUGAAUAAAUUCACGGCGUACUGUACGUACCAAAUAAAUAACGAAAAAACGAAAAAAAAAAAUAUUUAACACAUCAAAAAGUAAAUUCACAAAAAUAUUGGAGCGACAACCACUAAAUUGCAGGCUUCUGACUUGUGAUAGGCACAUACAGAAUGUAGCGGGGUUAAACAUGUUAGCGGAUGCCCAAUUAUCUCCCUUACCUGAGACAGUGGUGUAACAGUUUAACAAAAGAACGAACUUUAAACAUCAGUUGAAAAGGGUUUAACUCAGCAGAUGGAUACACACAGAAAUGUGUUAUAAUACAAAAACACAGAGUAGACGUGGCAGGGUACAUAUUUGCACAUCCCAACAACAAAAAGACACAACGUACAAAUCUGAGAGUACUCGCGGUAGCUGACAGCCUGUUCAAAUAACAACUAAUAAAAUAAUUAUAUAUCUAAGACAGAACUAUCAAUCAGUACACAUUCAACAUCGAAUGGAUGUAGUGUGAAGACUUCAUAAACAUUCAGAGAAAAACAUGACAUUGUGCAAUGGCAAGAUACAAGUGUCUAAAGAUUGUAGUUCCACUAAUAUACUUAUGCAUAUAACAAUAAUAUACAGUUUUCCUUUAAUUAACUGACAACAUAUUCAAUUGUAAUACCAAUAAAAGCAAUAUAUACACUCAAUUACAGUGUUGAUUUGGUCAAGUGUAAGAAUAAGUUUAUUCGAAGCAUCGAUAACUUUGCCACGAUCCUUUCUAAACUUCCGGGCAUGGUACACAAUACUCGUAAAAAUGAGGAUAUGCUAUCCCGAUCAAAAUAUAUUUUCUACAGGUACAACCAAGUCUUUAUAUCUAUAGAAGAACUAAGUAAAGAUUUCAAAUAAUCUUAGGUAACGAAAUCCCUGGCUUAAUAUUUACCAGUUAUACAUAGAUUUCGUUUGUUUUAAAUAAAAAAACCACAAACGUCACAACAGACACGGGCAUAACCGAACGAGUUGUGAAAUAUAAACACCGUAAGAUGAUACCAAAAAAAUAUCACCAUCCAAAAAAGGAAAAUUAAUAAUAGAGAACAAAAUAUCUUCCGUUUUGUCGAACAUUUCAGUGUUGAAAAUCCAAUGUAAAACCGAAAUAUGUAAAUCUAGGAAAGUGCAGUUAUUACCGUUUACAUUUGAUUUAUUUAAAGAAAGUUCCUUUGGGUAAAUGUAGACAGUAUAUUUAGGAAAUUCUUAGUAAUUUACCGAAAAAAUAUCAUCAAAAUGACGGUGAGUGCUGUUGAAUUGAUCCAUUUAGACGGUUCUUUACUGAUAUUAGCCAUAGAUUGUGAUUCACAACUGUACAAAACCAAGUUUGCCAUCAGAAGGUCGCAGUUUGUACCCAUAGGAAUACAUAUAACCUGUCGAUAAACUUUGUUGCCGAAAUGGACAUAAAUAUUAUCAAGGAGAAAAAUUAAAAGCUAAAAUCAUCGCAUCACUCCUCCAGUAAGUCUAUUAGCAUAGCUACCUUUCUCAUUAGCGAAGAAUGCUUUAAUUGAUUUGCAGCAAAUGUAUUUGCAUUCAGAUUAACCAAACGACCAUUCAAUUAAAUAAAUUAAAAAUACACUAAACAAAUAGUUAAUUCCACUUUUUUCAUAUAUUUUAUCAAAGUAAAUGAUAAGUGUUUUGAUAUAAGUUACGAAACUUGUUGAAAGCACUACAAACCGACAUAUAACGGUAUUUUGUUGUCUUUUGUGUACUUUAGGUAACCAAUACACCAAUACAUAGUAGGGACUUUCAAAUGUUCAGAAAAAGCAUUAAGCUAUGAUGUGGUUGUGCUACUAUAUUGUUUACUAUAUGAUUUUCUGUAGAGCGCACGGACUUAAAUGUAGACGAAUUAAAAUUGCAUUCUUAAGAACGUUCUUUAGUAUUUACGUCAUACCACCACCACAUUGUUAGCUGCUUAAAUUUGUCGGCCGGUACAAACUGUAUGAUUAAUGAAUUAUUUUUAUAAUGUGAUAUUCGAAUAUCCACAACUUUCAUACAUUUAUUUUGAUAAGAAAUAAGAGAUUUUGAUAUCAAAUCUUCCAGUCAGGAAAAUUCGAUUCAGUGCUAUUUCUCAAGUGAAUUGUUUCUGUCUGGGGUCUUUCAAUACAUAAUGGUUUUAUAGUAUCUAUACUCACCUAGUAUGUUCUGGCCUUUUUUAUCAGUUAUAUUAGGUUUUAGUAUUUGUCUUUGUAUAUUUUUUUGGAAACAUUUUCAGUCCAGUCAAUGUUUGACGUGACACGGUAUGUAUACAUCCCGCCUUGAUGUUAUUGUGCUAUGAUUUUGUUUUACUCUUGUCUUUCAUAUUUGUUGAUGUACAUUGCCAGUUGAGUGUUUAUAUACAUAGUUGUUCGUUUUCAUAGUAAAUAAGAUUAGAACACAAUGUUGAAUGCUGUACUCCAUUUUUAAACACUUUUACCUAGUAUUUUUGUUUGGUUUGUUCCCCAAUUUUUGUAAAUAUAAUAAAAUUAUUUUCGACUGCAUUUCAAGUCAGGGUUUUAAUUCGCUAUAAAACCAGGUUAAAUCCAUCAUUUUCUACAUAAGGAAAUGCCUAUACCAAAUUAGGAAUAUGACAGUUGUUGUCCAUUUAUUUGAUUGAUUGGGCUUUUGGUAAGGGCUUUUCCAUUUUGAUGUUUUUUUGGAAAUCUGUUUUUCUAUUUGUUUUUCUUUUAUAGUCGCUUAUGCGGUAUUGGUUUGUUGAAUUAUUGAAGGCCGCACGAUGGUCUAUAAAUGCUUAAUUACAACUUUAUUUGAAUUCUGUUGGAUAUUUGUCUCAUCGGCAAUCAUCACAAUUUCUUAUUUCAAUAUUAUAGAAUUCAUGAUGACUAAAAAUGAAUUUAGUGUCGACAUUUCCUUGAUUAUUCUUACUUAAACGGGUUACUAUAACAGAUUUUUCUAAAGGACAAAACAAUUAGUAGCAAAUUAGUGGUAACUUCUUGAGCUACCUUCUUGUACAAAAGUAGUCAUACUCCAGACUUUGUGUGGAUAAACCUUUGAUUGCUUUGGCAUAAGGAUUUUCUUUGAAAAUGCAUUCACGGAAAUAUUGUUUUAAUUACCGUGAUUAUUUUAUUGGUUUCUUAUUUAACGUCAAAUGAUAUUAAUUUGAUGAAAUUUGUCACAUCGACAAUUUUAAGCAUGGAACCCAAGUGAUAAGAGUAGGAGUCAAACUAAAGUUAGUUUGGUGGGUGUCAUUAUGGGCUAUCGGGUUUUACUGUAAAGUGUCAUUACAAUGUGAAUCUAUAUGGUUAGAACAGUAUUUUCGAAACAAACGAGCUAUGUGUUUUUAAUUUUUAACAAUACAUGGAGUCCCCGGUUUCCCCGCGGCCGGUGAUACCGCGCAUUAGGUGAUUUCUUCAUAUAAACAAAGUAACACAAAUAAAAUCGCAGGUACUCCUGAAUGGUUAGUAGAUCCGGCUUCACGUAUGUCACCCGCCAAAUUAUAUUUUCUUAUAUAUCAUUUAAGAGUUCGUUUACAUUUGCACACAGUAUAAGACAAUCUGACAAAGCCUCACAAAGGCUUUAUAAAUAUACUGCAAGAAAAUAGUGAGAUAGGAAAAAAGACAAUGUAAAAGGUUAAUCUUAUGUAAAAUAAAUAAACAAGUCGACCUUUGUUUAUAAAAGGUAAAAUACCAAAACAUAUACGAACUCACAAGGAAAACUGGACGUCCCUUUUAAAAUGGAAUAAUCAUACGCUCAAACACAUCAAGCACAUUAAACGUAGGGUAAACAACUGUCAUAUUCUUAACUUUCUUGUGUAGAAAAACAAGAGUGUAACUGAAAGUAUGGAAACUUCAAAUUAAAGCCUGUUAAUUUUCUUAUAACCUUACAUUUUAAAUCAAGUCACAAUGUUUCAAUGAGUAUCUUCUGACAUUUUUAUUUUGAUUAGUUGUAAAAUAAAAUUGAAAUCUAUUUUGUCGCGAAAAAACAAAAUAGAAACUGAAAAGACAUUCAUACCUUAGAAAUAUUUACAUGAGAGGAAAUGGUUGGAAAAACUCCUUUCACACUCUUUUAUUCAUUACAACUUCACUAGAAACGAAACAGCAGUCAAAAAUCUGUUGUAACUCAACAUGUAAAUUAGAGUAAACCUAUACUACAGAUUCGUUGACUUUGAGAGAAAAGCACAGUUGCUAAACUCCAUACCAUAUAGUCGACUCAAAAAGGCACCGACAUGACUAAUAUGAAACAAUUAUGAAAACAAACGUCAUGAUUUAUAUAAAAAAAGGAUUUACAAGAAUAAAAGACAAAUAUCAACCACAACAACCACUCACCUUCAAGCUCCGAGCUUGGGACCAUCACAUAUAGAAUGUGUGGAGAAUUAAACAUGUUAGAAAGUAGAAACCAUCCGCUUACCUGGGACAACCGUGUAACAGUACAAAAUAAGAAAUCGCUAUAAAAUUAGACAAAAAGAGCUUAAUUCACGUGUUAUGUCCGAUUUGUUCUAACAAAUAUCCGAUUCUACAACGUUACUACAUACAAUAUGAUUGUUGUAGUUAUUCGCCUUCAAAAAAGAAUUAGUGUCAAACUUGUUGCUAAUGUAUUUAUAAAUUUACUCGAGUAUGCAUCAAAUUGUAUUUUCAGAGCUAUAACUGGAUUCGCCUGUUUAUCUAUAAUUGUUUUUGGGGGUAUAUACGGCCUCAUAAAACUAUGUUACAAACGUAAGUUUUUAUCAAAAUAAGUUCGUUUUUUAAUUCUUUGAAAUCAACAGACACAAUUUUAUAUGCUACGUCACAACAAUGGAAACUGCUUUAAAGUCAAUGUUUAUGCCUUAUAGACCAAAAUAUAUACCAGAACGGGAGUAACAAAUAUUAAACAACGCAACUUGACAAAAACUAAAGUUUUUAUAUUAUUUUACAUAAAAUGUAGCCAACGACUAAAUAAUAACAAGCUUAUUAAAGUUUUCCAAUAAUCACAUAGGUGGUCUACAAAUCUAAAACUUGUUUGAUCCUUUUUUUUUGAAUAUUUCAAUUGUUUUAGGUAUAAAUAAUAAUUCCACGAACAGGUGUACAUUUUCAUAUAAAUUAGAUCGUUGGUUUUUCCGUUUGAAUGGUUUUACACUAUUAAUUGUGUGGCACUUUAUAGCUUGCUGUUCGGUAUGAGUCUAUGCUCUGUGUUUAAGACCGUAGCUUGACCUAUAAUGGUUUAUGUUUAUAAGUUGUGACUUGGACGGAGAGUUGUCUCAUUUGCACUCCUACCACAUCUUCCGUUGUCUAUUAAAAUAAAUAAAUAUUUUUGUCAAACAAACUUUGAAUAUUACUCCUUUCAUAGAAAUGAAUUUGCCUUUUGCUAAUAUCUACCAAAACGGUUGCUUUGUAUCCAAACUUGGCUUGGAAAUGCUAAAAAAUAAAUUUAUGAAAUUACUGUGUGCAUUCGAGGCGCUAUUACCUUCAAAGCGAACUAUAUUGUUGACUAACCUCCAUAGUGAACGCUUUAGUUUAUUUAACUCCACCAGGAACGUAAUUAUUUAUUUAUCGUCAUUUAAACUCCAAUUUAGUUGCACCUUCACAAGGAACUAUAUUGAUAAUUUGUAUUCAUUUGAAACGCUACUGUUUAUAUAUCUUCAUCCGAUACAUUAUCUUGAUUUACCUUUAUCUGGAACGCUGUUAUUAAUAUUAUUCCAUCAGGAAGGCUAUUAUUGGUUUAAAUCUAUCAGGAACACUCAAAUCAUCGUUAAUAAAAACGAGGCACAAGAACACCAAUCAACACGAUUUGACCUACAAUGUAAGAAUAUCAAUUGUGUAUCCAUUGUUUUGUAAUUAUCAUGACUCUCAACAAAACAUGGAAUACUGUUUUAAAUGGAAUAUUAUUGUAUAAUAUCAUUAAACAGUUGAUUUUAUUUUUAUCAUAAUGAUUUUCGAUUAUGAAAUAUGAUAGUUUCAAUACAAUUUUUGUUAUGUAUUUAAAGAUUUUCAUGGGGAAAAAGGCAGAGUUGGAAAUCUUGAAUCAAUUGCAGAUGAUAAAGAUAUAGAAAUUGGCCAACAACAGAAUGAUCAGCUAGAUUUUGAAAAACAACCUGCAUACGGUCAACCAAUGUAGAGACAUCAUCCAAUUAGGCCCUGAUCCAGCAUACACACAACCUUAUCAAUAUCACGCGUGUAAAACUGAUAUUUCAGACUCCCGACAUUAACUUGUAGUAACUUAUAAUUCAUUGUGUUGAUUAACA
RNAcentral lists this long non-coding RNA (9408 nucleotides) under Mytilus galloprovincialis (Mediterranean mussel). The record is from RNAcentral. Lineage: Eukaryota; Metazoa; Mollusca; Bivalvia; Mytilida; Mytilidae.